GGAAAAAUUAAUGUUUAUUUUUACAAGCAAAAAUACCCUUCACAUAUUUGAAAAAGAAUCGGUUAGAGAAAGAAAAAACCUUUUACAUCAUUGUUGCUUCGAUGUUCAAUUUCUCUUUCCUAUGCUAAAUUACUAAUUUCAAUAUGCCAUCUUGAAUUUCUAGGGUUCUCACCAUUGACAUUGCUGCUGCUGGCUUAAAGGAGAAAGAAACAAAAGGAAACAGUGGAAUUGCGGAGGAUCAGAAAAUGGGGUGAGAUGUUUGGAAGUGGUGGGAAAAGAUGCAGAAGGUAUAAAUGUGCAAGGAGAGAAAGGAGGUGUUGGGCAAUUUUUCUACAAAGAAUUGAAAAAGAAGUGUCUUUUUAGUCUUUUUCUUUAUUUUAAC
RNAcentral lists this unclassified non-coding RNA (382 nucleotides) under Hevea brasiliensis (rubber tree). Lineage: Eukaryota; Viridiplantae; Streptophyta; Magnoliopsida; Malpighiales; Euphorbiaceae. The record is from RNAcentral.